This 566-nucleotide long non-coding RNA is filed under the name Nicotiana tabacum (common tobacco). RNAcentral describes it as "long non-coding RNA (NTAB_LNC005843)". The record is from RNAcentral. Lineage: Eukaryota; Viridiplantae; Streptophyta; Magnoliopsida; Solanales; Solanaceae.
GAGGAUGUACAACCUGUACAGCGCAAGGUACACCUUGAUAAAGCUUGGGCAGAAUGUUUUUAAGUCCUCUUGUCCGCGAUUUGGGUCCAUUUUUCUGCCAUAAUUGAUCAUUUUGAGAGCUUUUUAAAGGAUAUUGAAGAGAGAUUCAAGGAGAAACGUUUGGAGGUAAGAAUUUCGGACCUAAAACUCAUUUAUAUUGUGAAAUCCACCUAGAAAAUCAUUGAAUUCUUGCUAAAAAUGGAAGAAAUAGAGCUUGGGAUUUUGAGAUUUUGAUUGGGGAUUUGGAGGACCAUUUGGGGUCGGAUUUGAGAACUUUUGGUAUGUAUGAACUCGUGGGGAAAUACGGAACCCGUUGAUGUAAAAAUUUCUGAAUUUCGAGAAGUGAGCUCGGGGCUCGGGUUUUGCUAAUUUCGGGAUUUUUGAUGUUUUUCGAUUAUUUUUGCUUGGGCUUUGUUCCUUUAGCAUAUUGUGACAUAUUAGUUCUGAUUUUGGAUAGAUUCGACACACGUGGAGGCCAAUUCGAGGGGCAAAGGCGUCGCGAGCUAAAGAAUUAGCUGGUUCGAGGU